RNAcentral lists this unclassified non-coding RNA (3544 nucleotides) under Leishmania donovani. Its description in RNAcentral is "gene:LdHU3.03.0920(CDS-product:hypothetical_prote in_conserved)". Lineage: Eukaryota; Euglenozoa; Kinetoplastea; Trypanosomatida; Trypanosomatidae. The record is from RNAcentral.
CCAUUCCCAUAGACCAUCAUGACCGAUACAGCGGCACCGCGGCAGGUUGCCUGCCAGGGAUGCAGCACGCAGACCACAACGGCCUUCCAGUGCCCGCUGUGUCAAGCAGAGGCAACAGCGGAUUGCGGCUUCUUCUGCACUCAGGAGUGCUUCGCCAAGAACUGGCUUAAGCACCGCAACACCCUCCACAAGAGCGGCGUGGUGCGGAAGACGAAGCGUAUGCCAGCUGACGCUGCGGCUGCCGCCCCUGCAGGGACCACGGAGAAGGGCCGCCAGGCGCGUGGCGGUAAGCGUUCCCGCGCAGCUGAUGAGGCUGCCAGCGGCACGGGUAAAGACACAUGCGCCGAUAAGAAGGCCGCCGCUGGUGGAACGCUUGCCCCCUGGCCGCCACUGCCCAACGCGGCGGUGUGCAAGAAGAACAACUGGGCACAGGUCACCCCGGAGCUGCCGCUCGAUGUGCCCCGCGCAGUCGUGCGCCCUGUCGUGACGGAGGCUGCGAAGGGCAGCGCCGAACAGCCGCUUCAGCGCUGCAUGUGGCCUGCCAUGCUGGCUGCCGCGCAGUACGUGGCGUUGUCUGCGCAGCGCAAUACGGCGCCGUCGGCCGUGCAGGUGCUGGUCGUGGCCGGAGACGUGCAGAGCGCCCACGCUUUCGCGUGGGCAGCGCGGUGUGUGGGUCUCGCCGGUACGCUGCAGCUCGCUGUCUCAGAGCAGCCAGCCCAAUCAAGCGUCGCCGCCGCCACUAAAAACAGCAGCAGCAACACUGCGAGCACUGCUGCCGCCACGGCGGCAUCACCCUCCCGCUACUUCACCUCCCAUCGGUGUAUCGUCAUUGCCACGUCGGCGGUGGUGCGUGCCUCGGCACUGGCUCGAACGUCGUCGUCGACGGCGGUGAGCGGCGCCGCGUCGUUGUGGCUGACCGGAGCGCCGUCGCACUCCCUGCUGGUUACUCUCCCAGACGUCGUGGAUGCAGAGGAUCUGCAAGGGGUGCAGACCCGAGCCGUCUUCUUCACAGGGCCGGCCGGCCCUACAAGCGACGAUGCGGCGAAGGACGAUGGCAAUGAUGGCGUGGUGUCGUACACCUACACCUCACUCGAGGUGCUGUGCGAGGAUAGGCAGCCGCUCUGCUGGAAGCCAGCAGCGCUGUCCGCCCCGGGGUCCUCGACCCCGAGCAGCAGCACUGCUGGGAACGGCGGCGCAGCAGCGGCGGCUGCCUCAUGUUUGGACGAUGAAGUCUGCACGUGCUUCGCCAACGGCGACAUGGCUGCUGCGCUUCAGCGGCUCGUCCGCUGCUACCAGCAUCAGCCGGGGCACCUAGAGUCGAAGCUCUACUACACGCUGUGCUGCAACUGGGGCGCCGCCAGCCUCGUCCACGCGCAUCACCGCCUCGCGUACGUAGCUCGCUUCCUGUGUGACCGCUCCGUCCGCUUCGAGGCGCCCAAGAACGCAACCCUUGCCGACGCGGCGCUCCGCGCGAUAGCGGCCGUGUGCCGACUGCUGCCGCGCAUGGCGGAUGUCGAAGCCGAAGCAGCCGCAGCGGCGGCUAACGCAUCGGGCCAGGAGAGCGCCAGCGACGCCGCCAACAAGUCGAAGAAGCGCCGGCUGCACAAGAGCGAGGUGGCAGCAGCGGCGCCGUACGCGCCAUCCCUCGCCUCCACCACACGCCCCACGCCGGUCGUCGCCAGCGGCGUCAGUGCCCCCUCGGCGCAGGAGGUGGCCCGCUACGCGAACUACUACACCCACCUGCCCAACCUGCAGUUGCAGGCGACGGUGUGCCAUCUACACCCCAUCGCCUCCCCGGCCGUGCUCGACACCUUCGCCAUGGCGUGGGGACUGUACCGGUACCUCCCUGGCCCGAGCAGCCUCGACGGCGCCGAUCACGCCCGCAGCGCGGCCGUGCACCGUGUCCGGCAACGCUUCACGGCGAAGCUUGACAGCGCCAAUGGCGUCUUCUACGUCAUUCUCAUGCAUCUCAUAUACGAUGCCGUCGGCCCGUACUCGCUCCCGGUGGACGAGGUGAACCGCCGCCUGCAGUGGGAUCUGACCCUCGCCCACGACGCCGGGUCGCUGGAGGCGUACCUGCGUUGCUGUGGCCUCCUCGUGGCGGACGACGGCCUGCUGCUCCCCACGUCGAGCAAGCAGCGGGUGCGGAAGAUGAAGAAAGGCGGUCGUGCUGCAUCGGUGCCAGCAGUGCUAUCGAGCCGCCUGAAAGGGUCGCGCGAGACGACGCAGUCGCGAACGGAGCAGCUGCGCUGCUUCGCGGUCAAGUCGAUGGCCGGCACCGCCGGUGCCGCAGCUGUGGCGUCGAGCGGCAACUACGGCGUCAUUGAGCUCCCGUGGAAGACGUUCCCCAUCACGGGUGAGCGGCAGCGACAGGUGGCUCGCCUGCACCAGGCGGCCGUGGAGGAACUGCUGAUGGCGAUGCCACGCGUGCCACGUCCGAUGUACAUCGGCGACGUCGGCAACCUCAUCGGCAAGUGGAUGCACUUCAACUCGCGCUUCGAUGGCACCCUCGGCGUGAACCUUCAGGCCUUCCUCGAGCAGCACCCAGAGGCGUUCAAGGUGCUUGACAACAUAGUCACGCGACGCACGGCGGGUAAGACGGAGCAGGUUCGCAUCCGUUUCGACGGCGACGACGAGCAUGACAACGACGACAGCGACGAUGGCACCGACCGCGCCCGCAAAACGCGCGACCGCCAGCUGCUGACGGGGCAGAGGCUCUCCAAGAGCGGAGGGAAGGGCAUCGUCGAGCUGCCCGCGCGCGCGCGCAAGAAGCGCGCCAUCAAGGAGUUCAACAAGGAGCGGUUCAACCGCAACUACAAGUCGAUCGACCCCUCGGCGCGUGUACCGGGCUACAUCAAGCGUGGCCCGCGUCGCAUCAAGGGGCGUGGCAAGAAGGCGAACAAGCGUGGCGUGAAGCGCGGCGCGUAGCCUGCGCGCGUGUAAACGCAGGGAGUGGGGGGGGGGGGGGGGGGCAGGACACCGCAGCGGCGGUGGCAUGUGCGGAACGAGUAAAGUGCUGGAGCCUGUGGAAGGAGAGGAAGCAAGGUGAGAGGUGAAGGAAGGAAGAAAGGGAGGGAGGGACGGUUGCCAAGGAGCGUGGUGCUGCACGCACAAGCGCACGCAGCGGUCGCCCUGCCGCUGCAUCGCGACCGCUAUCACCCCUCCUUCGUGCCUUCUCUGAUCUCUAGCCUCGCUUCAGGCUGUAGCGCAGCGAUUAAGGCAGGAUAAAACACUAAAGAAGGGGCGCGGAGAAGGAAAUGCGCCGCACACGCACACAGGGCUGUGCAGAAUGGACAGACGGACGCAGGUGCGAGGCGGAGGGGCAGCAAGGCUCGUCGCCGCCCCCACCACCACCCUCCGUCGUGCGUGUGCACGCGUCCGUUCGUCUCUCAAUGGUUGAUUUUCGCUUUUUUGUGUGUAUGGCGCGUCUGCAGUGUUCGGUGUUGUUCCUCGUGUGCCGGUAACCUCACCACUCAACGCGCGAGGCGCUCGCCCUCGCUAAAGAGCGUCCCUGUGCGGAACGAAACAGGAAGCAGUGAUGGCG